CGCUAUAUCGUUGGAUCAGGUGUCGCAAGACGUAAUAGGGAAUCCGGAGAGAGCCGGAGCGGUCCCGCCACUGUAACAGCGAGCAACCCUGCAAUAAGGGAUCACGUUGCACGUGAUUCCUCAGUCACUGGGGCGAAUGCCUUGGGAAGGCGCAGGGAAACGAUGAACUGGAGCCAGGAGAACUGCCUGAUGGACAAUCGCCAU
This 204-nucleotide non-coding RNA is filed under the name Mitsuokella sp. oral taxon 131 str. W9106. RNAcentral also lists the same sequence under 1 other name. Lineage: Bacteria; Bacillati; Bacillota; Negativicutes; Selenomonadales; Selenomonadaceae. The record is from RNAcentral.